Molecule: long non-coding RNA, 514 nt
Organism: Aedes aegypti (yellow fever mosquito)
Lineage: Eukaryota; Metazoa; Arthropoda; Insecta; Diptera; Culicidae
Exons: 2
Source: RefSeq, a predicted model, not a curated record
CUUCUUGCUAGCGGAGUUUGUUUUUGUUCGUUUUCGCACUGAUCGGGUAUCAUUCGGCUGAAUUUUUACGACACUGCUUGCACGCUAACUUUGAAGUACCCAUUAAAUGGGUUCCUUGUACCCAUUUUUAUUGCUAGUACUGAGUUGUCAGAAAAAGGGUAUUAUUUUUUAACACUAAAAAGAGUACAUUUUACUCUUCUUGAAGAACGAGUUCCGUCAGUAAAAAAGGGUAAAAAAGCCACUUUUCGCCAUUUGGAGCAACAACAUUGAAGUGUUUUGCCGCAAAUCAUAUUUCGUUAAUUAAUUGAAAGAAUCAUGGUCCGUACUUGGCUUAAAGCAGAACCCUUCAAGGAGCAUUACAAGCGGCAAUUAAAGAGUGGGUUUUCAUCCGGGAUAUGGAAUAGCAAAAUACGGAGCAAGACCCCUGGAUACAGAUGAGAAAGUCAACGCAUUAAAGUUUGAGUUAGCACCUUAGUUAUAAGUAAUCAAAUAAAAAGAUUUCCAUUAAAAUAUA